Carcharodon carcharias (great white shark) is the source of this 336-nucleotide long non-coding RNA. RefSeq lists it as uncharacterized. The transcript is spliced from 3 exons. Lineage: Eukaryota; Metazoa; Chordata; Chondrichthyes; Lamniformes; Lamnidae. The record is from RefSeq and is a predicted model, not a curated record.
CUGCUCCUUGUUUCCCUAUUGGAUUUAUAAGUAAUUAUCUUGUACUUAUGGCCUCAAGUUUCGGAUUCUCCCACAACUGGAAACAUUCUCUCCACAUCUGCUCUGCGGAUUCUUAGCUGCCAAUUGGAGAUGGUAGCGGUCGUGGGUUUGGAAGGUGCUAUCGAAGGAGCCUUGCAGAAUUCCUGCAGUACAUCUUGCAGAUGGUACACACUGCUGUACUGUGCAUCGGUUGUGGAGCGGAUAACAGUGCGGUGGCCUACAGAUGGAGUUGGUGCAAUAAUUAUGGAUGCAGUCGUUCCAACUCAGCCGAUUUCUCUGGCAUGCUUUUUUAUCAUC